GGCGGGAUGGAGGCCGGGGACUGCCAGAUGGUCGUGGCAUUGGCCUGAAUGGUCCGGAUGAACGGAAGGGCGACUCGAGUGGGUGCAUCGGCAGAGAGUAUGCUUACUACCGGAUCUUCAAUUUCUGAGACCUCCUCAGCCUGCAGGUUCAUGUUCUGUGCCAUGCGCCUGAGGAGGUCGUGAUGUGCCCUGAGAUCAAGCGGCGGGGGGCUGGUAGAUGUUGUUCCAGCCACCGCUUCAUCUGGGGAGGACGAUGAGGAGCGACCCGG
Molecule: non-coding RNA, 269 nt
Organism: Chelonoidis abingdonii (Abingdon island giant tortoise)
Lineage: Eukaryota; Metazoa; Chordata; Testudines; Testudinidae
Source: RefSeq, a predicted model, not a curated record